This 72-nucleotide transfer RNA is filed under the name Candidatus Daviesbacteria bacterium RIFCSPHIGHO2_01_FULL_43_17. RNAcentral's name for it is "tRNA-Pro". It matches the Rfam family "tRNA". From Rfam's summary of the family: Transfer RNA (tRNA) molecules are approximately 80 nucleotides in length. Their secondary structure includes four short double-helical elements and three loops (D, anti-codon, and T loops). Further hydrogen bonds mediate the characteristic L-shaped molecular structure. tRNAs have two regions of fundamental functional importance: the anti-codon, which is responsible for specific mRNA codon recognition, and the 3' end, to which the tRNAs corresponding amino acid is attached (by aminoacyl-tRNA synthetases). tRNAs cope with the degeneracy of the genetic code in two manners: having more than one tRNA (with a specific anti-codon) for a particular amino acid; and 'wobble' base-pairing, i.e. permitting non-standard base-pairing at the 3rd anti-codon position. RNAcentral also lists the same sequence under 3 other names. Lineage: Bacteria; Candidatus Daviesiibacteriota. The record is from RNAcentral.
CGGGGACUAGUUCAUCGGUAGAACGCUCGAUUCGGGUUCGAGAGGCAGAGGGUCCAAUUCCCUCGUCCCCGA